GUUACAGCAGCCGCGGUAAUACGGAGGAUCCAAGCGUUAUCCGGAAUCAUUGGGUUUAAAGGGUCCGUAGGCGGUUUUAUAAGUCAGUGGUGAAAUUUGGUCGCUCAACGAUCAAACGGCCAUUGAUACUGUAGAACUUGAAUUACUUGGAAGUAACUAGAAUAUGUAGUGUAGCGGUGAAAUGCUUAGAGAUUACAUGGAAUACCAAUUGCGAAGGCAGGUUACUACGAGUACAUUGACGCUGAUGGACGAAAGCGUGGGGAGCGAACAGGAUUAGAUACCUCAGUAGUCC
Molecule: ribosomal RNA, 292 nt
Filed under: uncultured bacterium
Lineage: Bacteria
Description: partial 16S ribosomal RNA
Rfam family: Bacterial small subunit ribosomal RNA
Source: RNAcentral